GUCUGUGCUGCUGCUAAGUGGUGAACUGGAAAAUUUGUUGACCAUGGAAUCAGACACUCUGCAAGCUGUUCACUCUUUCCAGUGCCAAUUCUGUGAAGAGGUGUUUUCAUCCAGCAUUCAGAUGGCACAACACUGGCAAGACCACCACCAGGAGGACCACAUAGAGCAGGAAGCAUCAAUCUACCACCUCCUCCAGACAACAGCCUUUGGUCUCACUCACCCCAUGGCCAACAGUGCAAGUGACACCAUCAAGGGUAGCAGUUGCUUGACCGAUUCUAACCACCAUGUUUCACCUGGAAAGUGUUCCAUGUACAAGGAGAAUUUAGUAUCAGAGGAAACAUGUCAAGGACUCGGUCAAACCCAUUCUGUUGAGAGUUCGAGUCAAGUAGCCAUCUCUGUAAAAUCUUCAGACUCACAAUCUGUUCCCAAGAAAGGAUUGAAGGACUUCUGUUGUGAAAUAUGCGGUCGGACUUACACAACCACAUCAAAUCUGAACAAGCACUAUCGCACACAUACAGGUGUUCUCUACUUCUGUAGCCUUUGUCAGAAAGGUUUUAAGUAUAAAGAGAGUCUAAAGAAACAUGAAAAAUGCCAUACACAAAGGAAGACUGAGAAUCAUGACUGUGUCUAUCAGUGUCAAUUUUGCCACAAGAAUUUUCCUGACAAACUCAGAUUAAGUAUUCACUUUCGUUCUCAUCCUAUGGAGAAAACGCACAAAUGCAAGCAGUGUGAACGAACCUUUCUCUACAAAAGUGGAUUAAGACGACAUAUGCUUUCACAUGCUUCUGAAAAGGCACAUAUAUGUCUCCACUGCACAAAAAGUUUCUUGACACUUCAUAGUCUGAAGGCACAUAUCAAGACCCAUUCUGGCAAGAAGCCGUUCUCCUGUGACAAAUGUGAAAAGGCUUUUGCUCAGAAGCUUACAUUAAUUGAGCAUAUGAAAUUACAUGAGGACACCAGAUCUUAUAAAUGUAGCUACUGUGGAAAAAGUUUCCAUCAGCGUUCAACACUGUGGGGACAUGAGAAGCUACACAAGCGUGAGAAGGUUCACAGAUGCAGUAAAUGUGAGGAACAUUUUGGGACGUUAAAAGAACUUCGGAGUCAUGAGAAGAAGCAUUGGUUGGAUUCCAGGCUGCACAAAACUGUUGACACUGAUGGGGAACCUGUCAAGGAUUCUGUGCAAACUAGACGAUUUGAGUGUGAUCUCUGCGGGGAAGCGUUCACCCAAAAGGCAGUGCUGCAAACGCACUACAGGAGACAUACAGGCGAAAAGCCAUUUAAAUGUAAUGUAUGUGGGAAACAAUUCAGACACUUGGCAUCCAGCAAGAGACAUGGUUUAAUCCACAAAGGUAUCAAACAGUAUCAUUGUGAUAUGUGUGAUAAAUCAUUCACCAAGAAGUCCUACUUGAAGUGGCAUGUCUCCAAGCUUCACUCCACUGUUGAUGACAGCAGACUGAAAGUUUGUGAUGAUACUUGUAAAGAGAAUUCGGAAGCUACAGACUCCCAGUCCGUGACAGGAACUGCUGAAAAGUGGAAUGAGGAUCCAGAUAGUGUGUUAUCACUAGAGGAUUGUGGUGGCAGUGAUAUGGAGUCUGAUGAUCAGAGACCAUUCAGUAGUCUAGAGGAGAAAGAAGGAAAGUGUAGAGAUGAACUGGAGGACUUAACACAAAAACAUGAAUUUGGUGGUCAGAGAAAACAAAGUGAUUGUGAGAAUAACCAGAUGGAGAGUCUGAAUACCCCUGACCAUCCAAGCUCGCAGAUCAUGGAGGGAACAAGCGUGAUAGUGUCAUUCCAGGAUGUUUGCGAUGUGCCAAUCAAUGAAGAAUGCGUCCACACAAUGAAUGUCCUGGACCAUGUCAUGCAACUGGCUGAGAUUUCCCAAAGGGACGUUGAAGAGUGUCAGAUCCAGAUUGAGAAUGUUCCGGGUUCCCCAGGUGAAGGGAGAAGCAUGGAAACUGAUCUAGAUAAGAAUAAAACACUGCUACAUGUAUCUCUUGAUAAUGUAACCAUUGACAAUCAGAAACCUUCUGCAGUUAAACCUUUUGUGUGUGAAUUAUGUGGACGAAUGUACAGCUCAAAUUCAUGCCUUCUGAGACACAAGCAAACUCACCUGAUCUCCAAGCCCCACAAGUGCAAUUUAUGUGACAAGUCCUAUAGCCGACGACCACUCUUACGAGAGCACAUUCAGUUCUCGCACAGUGAGCAGUACAAGGUUCACAAGUGUUCAUUCUGUGAGAAAUCGUUUCCCAAUGCGACCAGAUUAGAAUUGCAUGUCCGUACCCACACACAAGACAAACCCUUCAAGUGCCGAGAAUGUCAGAAAGGAUUCGCGGACUCCAGCAAUCUCAGGAGGCAUGAACGCAGUCAUAAGGGGUUGCGAACACAUAAGUGCCCCCAGUGUGGACAGCUGUUCUCUGAGAAGCCUGCCCUUCAGCGGCAUCAGGCCAGGCAUCAAGGAGAGAAGAACUAUCAAUGUCAGCACUGCACCAAGUCGUUUGUUCUGAAGACGGACCUACAGAGCCACAUCAUCUUGCAUAGAGCUGCCAAGGAAUCAGAAUGCUCUCUUUGUGGGUUGACAUUCAAGCGACAAAUCAGCUUCAAUCUUCAUCAGGCUACCACCAAAAAAAGUGCCAGGAAAUGCAGAGUUUGUGGCAUUGGAUUUGCGAAUGAAUGCAAGAGACGCCAACAUGAACUCAGUGAGCAUAAGUUUAUUAUCAAUGACUCGGGGUUUGUCUGUGGAUGCUGUGGGAAGAGUUUUAAUAGGCUCGGUAAAAUGGUGAACCAUAUAAGAGAGCAUUAAUGAAAUGUCAAAGUUUCAGACCUUUGAAAUUUCUGCAUAUGGUGGGUGGGGUAGGGGACUUCACAAUUUGAAGGCUUUUUUUUCUCACUGAUAGUUAUAAACAUAUUAUAAUCUGAUAGGCAAGGCCUGUCUUACUGUCUACUUAGAUUGAGUGCUCUAGUCUUCUUUCGUUCUCGUUUUUUUUCUCUCUGCUAAACAAAAAGUCAUAAGGGUGAAGAUCCCUGCUCCUGAUUGUAUUCCAAGUCCACAUGCAGAAGUAAACGAGCUAUGCGACUUAAAGUUUUAUGUUGGAAAUUAAUGUUAAUAAUU
Molecule: unclassified non-coding RNA, 3109 nt
Filed under: Lytechinus variegatus (green sea urchin)
Lineage: Eukaryota; Metazoa; Echinodermata; Echinoidea; Temnopleuroida; Toxopneustidae
Description: zinc finger protein 729-like, transcript variant X2
Source: RNAcentral